GGGGUCGCCUGUAUCCCUGCACUAUCAACAUUCCUCAAGCGUCUUAGUGAUCGUCAAUGUGCAGAAUAAAUUAGAAAUAAUAAGUGUUUUGUAGGUACUUAAUCACAAUUCCCCAAUGACAGCAGUGCUGAUUGUCAAUUAUGAGAAAUCAAUUUGACGUACAAUUCGUACAAUAUAGAUCUAUAGUUUUCCAACCACUCGCUCAACAUUGGAACGGAAGUGACGACGCACCUAAACGCACGAAUGGUGUUCACUAAAACCAGAGUUUUUGACGGAAAUGCAUCGAACUCGAAAGUUGU
RNAcentral lists this long non-coding RNA (299 nucleotides) under Mytilus galloprovincialis (Mediterranean mussel). The record is from RNAcentral. Lineage: Eukaryota; Metazoa; Mollusca; Bivalvia; Mytilida; Mytilidae.